AUGUAACUGUAAUUGUUCAGUUUAACCUGAUAAGUCAACUGAAUCGAAACUGUUGAAAAGCAUUCAUGCUCUUUGUUGCCAGCCUGUCAUAGUCAGGACUGAAUAAACACUUGCUGGUUGAUGGGCUGAUUUGAGUCCUGUUAGCCGUUUCUCGUUGUCUGACAUCCCCUGGGACUGGGGGUUCUGAGUGGCCAGCACAUCACAAAGGUCUUACCUUGACAUCUAAUAAUGUCUGAGGGUUCCAGGACUAGCUGUAAAGCAGCCUCAGAGGGAUGAUUUGUGCCUGUAGCAUCAGAUUCAAAAGACUCACAUCCAAACCCUUGCUUGGCUUUUUAUUACCUGUGUGCCCUUGGGAAAAUCAUUGACCAUCCCAAUUCCUCCAUAUAAUCAGAAUAAAUAAGGAGAGUAACUAAUAAUAAUGGAAAUGUUCCACGUGCUUAAGUUUAGGAGAUCUUAUCUCAUUUCUUUGUCACAAGAAGUCUGUUGAUCCAUUGGGGUGUCUAGGGUGUUCAGGGAAGACCAGUACCUCUGGGGGACGACUCAUUCACCUUUGGUGUCUACCUGCCUCCUAGUCCUCACCUGUGGCUCCAAGAAGCUGUAACAUGAACAGCGGCCAUGUCUCAGGAAACCAUCUUGGCAGGAACAGAAGCUGAGCCUGAGAAUCUGGACUCUAAGGAACCAGAAAAAAAGAAGAGGCAAGACAGGAGGUAUCAAGGAAAGAGGGAAGACCUCCAGCUUUUAAUCUCUCUCUCCCUCUCUCUCUCCUUCUCUCUCUCCUCUCCCUCUCUCCUCUCGAGCCCUCUUUUUUCUUCUCUCUCCCCAUCUCUCUCCUCUCUCUCUCUCCUUCUCUCUCCCCUUUCUCUCUCUCAAUCUCUCUCUCUCUCUCUCUCUCUCUCUCUCUCUCUCUCUCUCUCUCUCACACACACACACACACACACACACACACACACACACACACACACACACGAAUUUACUCAGAGACCCAAAAAGGGCAGCAAGAAAACUUGCCCAAAAAGCUAAUAUUUGAACUAGCACAGACACAUGUAUGUAUUUCCUGGCCACCAAGCCGCUUUAUCCCUCCAAUUUGACAAAGAUGGUUAACAUUUCUCUGAAUUCUCUUUGCCCCUAAUUCGGCCUCCAUUAAUACUAUUCUUCAGAGCCUCCCAGGGACACCUCUGGGCUCUUUCUGGUUCCCUUGUUCAUGGUUAAUGAGAGACUGUGCCAAAUUGUGGAAAGAACAUUGGCCUUGAAGUCCAAAGACCAGGAUCACAGAUUGAGAGCUUAAUGUGACCUUAGAGUCUUGUUUCUGACUCUUGCUAGCUAUGGGAUCCUUGAUCAUUCACUGAUUGUCUCUGUCUCAGUUUCUCCAUCUUCAGAAAUGGGGAUAAUAAUACAAGACUAGGUUGUUGGGAAGAAAAGUUUUGAGCCACACAUAAACAGAACAGCUUGAGCCUUUGCUUUCCUCUUUUUUUGAACUGAGAGGAGAGGAAGGAACAAAAAAAUAGAUUUUUGUUCAUAGGAAAAAAAUCUGAUUAGAAAAAUAAACAAUGCUUUGGGAACUACUAGAUCA
This 1570-nucleotide long non-coding RNA is filed under the name Monodelphis domestica (gray short-tailed opossum). RNAcentral's name for it is "lncRNA (ENSMODG00000030741.2)". Lineage: Eukaryota; Metazoa; Chordata; Mammalia; Didelphimorphia; Didelphidae. The record is from RNAcentral.